UCUUUUGUAGGUUAUGUUAUUUAAACCCCCGAUUUGUGGUGUCGGUAAAUCUUUGUUAUUAGGCGAA
This 67-nucleotide transfer RNA is filed under the name Hypoderaeum sp. Hubei-2014. RNAcentral describes it as "tRNA-His". The record is from RNAcentral. Lineage: Eukaryota; Metazoa; Platyhelminthes; Trematoda; Plagiorchiida; Echinostomatidae.